GUGAAUCAUCGAAUUUUUGAACGCAAAUUGCACUCUCUUCUGAGAGUAGGCCUGUUUGAGGUUCAGCCUAAAAAAAAUCUCCAUAUUUGCUGUUACGCGAUAACAUUCGUCUUAACUUGGGUCUUCUUAAACCUUUGAGUUUAAGCGGCUUAAAAUUUUGUUUACGAUUCCAAGAACGUUGCUAAGAUUUUAUUUUCUUAUAGUUUUAAGUUAUCGAUCUUUAUUAAACGUGUCCGUUGCAGGGGAUCGUGACUAUA
RNAcentral lists this unclassified non-coding RNA (257 nucleotides) under Glomus sp. RNAcentral describes it as "partial contains 5.8S ribosomal RNA and internal transcribed spacer 2". The stretch from base 1 to 65 matches the Rfam family "5.8S ribosomal RNA", at positions 84 to 154 of the family's 154-position model. Lineage: Eukaryota; Fungi; Glomeromycota; Glomeromycetes; Glomerales; Glomeraceae. The record is from RNAcentral.